This 207-nucleotide unclassified non-coding RNA is filed under the name Glomus sp. Its description in RNAcentral is "partial contains 5.8S ribosomal RNA and internal transcribed spacer 2". The stretch from base 1 to 65 matches the Rfam family "5.8S ribosomal RNA", at positions 84 to 154 of the family's 154-position model. Lineage: Eukaryota; Fungi; Glomeromycota; Glomeromycetes; Glomerales; Glomeraceae. The record is from RNAcentral.
GUGAAUCAUCAAAUUUUUGAACGCAAAUUGCACUCUCUUCGGAGAGUAUGCCUGUUUGAGGGUAAGCCUAAAAACAAUCCACAUAGUAGAUGUUUCGCGGUGACAUUCGUCGGACAUUGGGUCAUCUUAAACCUUUUGGUUUUAAGCGGCUUACAAUUUUCUUUACUAUUCCACGAACGUUUCUAAGAUUUGCUUGUUACACGUUUA